CAUACAGAUCUUUUGACUCAGCUGUUAUCAAGGAUCACUCCCUGCUUAUCUUUCAAAAAGCAUAUGUCUAAAUUAAGGCUAUACCCUCGCUAUUAGCUAUCAGGAAGCUGCACAGGAGCUGCUGACAAUAUACAAGUAUGUGUUUGUUUCAGCUAACAAUUGCCUUGCCGGUCUUUUUUCUUAGAAUGCUAGCAUUUAACAAUAGCUCGUAUAAUUGUCUUCUGCCAGAAUAUCUUAACAACUUAAUUCAUCGCUUCUCAGACUCCAGAAAGCAGCUGUUUGUGUCUUGCUUUGCUCUGGUUUUGCUGCUUCUCCUUAGUCUCUCAGCCUCACAAAGAUGACGCAGAAAAGUCCGUGAAUUGUCUCUCUUCCUGGAUUCUAUGAGGGGCAGAGCACGUAUGGAUCCUUCUCAAAAAACAGUUCAGCUCUCAAGACUGUUUUUCCCAACGUUAGGACUCAGAAAUCUCCCCAGAAUGCUGGCUUUCUCUUGGGAACGGAUAGAUAAGGCUUCAUGGUGGGAGUCAGUUUUGGACCUCUUGCAGCUGUGCAAAGAUUCAAGGUCACCAAGAUUGUUUUCCACAUACUUUUCUUCACCCAAGCUGAAGGGAAAAAAAAAGAAAAAAAAAUCUAAGUUAUAUAGAGGAGCCAAGAGGAGCCUAGGGAACCACAGCAACAUUUUCAGAAGUUCAGACGCAGGAGCUUCUCCAGGAAAGUGUAUCUAAAACCUCAUCCCCAGGCAGAAGCAAAAUGUGGAAGGAAGAGAUACGUACCAGUUCGAAAUAAUUUUAAAUUCCUAGAAGGAAGAAGAGAAAAUUCUCAUUUGACCCAUCCUUUUUAUCUGCAGAGAAGAAGCAAAUACUUAUAAUUCUGCUGGUACGGUGGUUCCUGAAACCCUGACCUUGCAGCUGGCUGACAAGCCUAACUUUGCUCUCUGAAGUUCAGGCUGGGUUUGAUUUCCUUUCUUCGUAUUUCUACUAAAAAUGAAACCAUCCAUGCAGGCUUCUUCCCCCCUCCCCCAAUAAAUAAAUAUUGUGACUUAUAACCCUUCCUUAUCUGCCAUUAUCUGUUCAGCCUUGAGUCUAUUGCUAUUCGCCUCUGGCAUCUGUAUGUGAGUUUAAAGCAGAAACAGGAGACUUACUUUUCUCUGGAAAUGUGUCCAAAAUAGCUUUUUGGACAGCUUCUUUCUAACUCUUGCACAGCCUGCACAUCUUUUCACUUAAAGGUAGUCCUCGACUUACAACAGUUCAUUUAGUGACCGUUCGAGGUUACAACAUCACUGGAAAAAGUGAAUCAUGACCGUUUUUCACACUGAAACAACUGUUGCAGCAUCCCC
Long non-coding RNA from Crotalus tigris (Tiger rattlesnake), 1333 nucleotides. RefSeq lists it as uncharacterized. NCBI's taxonomy places the organism in Eukaryota, Metazoa, Chordata, Lepidosauria, Squamata, Viperidae. The record is from RefSeq and is a predicted model, not a curated record. The transcript has 5 exons.